This 500-nucleotide ribosomal RNA is filed under the name uncultured bacterium. Its description in RNAcentral is "partial 16S ribosomal RNA". It matches the Rfam family "Bacterial small subunit ribosomal RNA", at positions 30 to 523 of the family's 1533-position model. The record is from RNAcentral.
AUUGAACGCUGGCGGCAUGCUUUACACAUGCAAGUCGAACGGUAACAGGGUGCUUGCACCGCUGACGAGUGGCGAACGGGUGAGUAAUGCGUCGGAACGUGCCGAGUAGUGGGGGAUAACGCAGCAAAAGUUGUGCUAAUACCGCAUACGUACUGAGGGAGAAAGUGGGGGACCUUCGGGCCUCACGCUAUUCGAGCGGCCGACGUCUGAUUAGCUAGUAGGUGAGGUAAAGGCUCACCUAGGAGACGAUCAGUAGCGGGUCUGAGAGGAUGAUCCGCCACACUGGGACUGAGACACGGCCCAGACUCCUACGGGAGGCAGCAGUGGGGAAUUUUGGACAAUGGGCGAAAGCCUGAUCCAGCCAUGCCGCGUGUCUGAAGAAGGCCUUCGGGUUGUAAAGGACUUUUGUCAGGGAGGAAAUCCCUAGUGCUAAUAACACUGGGGGAUGACAGUACCUGAAGAAUAAGCACCGGCUAACUACGUGCCAGCCGCCGCGGUAA